Molecule: long non-coding RNA, 484 nt
Organism: Asparagus officinalis (garden asparagus)
Lineage: Eukaryota; Viridiplantae; Streptophyta; Magnoliopsida; Asparagales; Asparagaceae
Exons: 3
Source: RefSeq, a predicted model, not a curated record
GUUCUGCAAAUGAGGUCGCCAAGGAUAAAGUAGAAAGAAGGGAGCUUAAUUGAAAUUGAAUUUCAAAUAUGACGGUAAUAGAGCUCAAAGUGUUCAUGCAUUGUGAGGCUUGUGAAAGGUCCGUCUUCAACACCCUUCGCAAAUAUAGAGGCGUUAAAGAAGUGAAAACAGACAUGGAAUUGCACAGAGCUACGGUGACCGGGCAAAUCGAUCCGGCAAAAAUCUUGAAAAAACUCAAGAAAAAGACUGGAAAGAGAGCAGAAAUCAUAGAAAAUAUUGGCGAUGAAGAUGAACAGGAAGCAAACCAAAUGAACUUGACGCCAAAAAAUUUCACCUUGCAUGAUGUAGAUCAUGACCAUGUUAGUAAUAUAAUUGACAUUUUAAAUAAACACCCGGUGAUAAACUUUGAUAUGUUUAGCGAUGAGAAUCCAAAUGCAUGCUCAAUUGUAUAGCUAUACGUUCCAUGAUUUGUCUUUUUGGUUCU